This 484-nucleotide ribosomal RNA is filed under the name uncultured bacterium. Its description in RNAcentral is "partial 16S ribosomal RNA". It matches the Rfam family "Bacterial small subunit ribosomal RNA", at positions 28 to 507 of the family's 1533-position model. The record is from RNAcentral.
AUUGAACGCUGGCGGCAUGCUUUACACAUGCCAGUCGAACGGCAGCGCGGGCUUCGGCCUGGCGGCGAGUGGCGAACGGGUGAGUAAUGCAUCGGAACGUGCCCAGUAGUGGGGGAUAGCCCGGCGAAAGCCGGAUUAAUACCGCAUACGACCUGAGGGUGAAAGCGGGGGACCGAAAGGCCUCGCGCUAUUGGAGCGGCCGAUGUCGGAUUAGCUAGUUGGUGGGGUAAAGGCUUACCAAGGCGACGAUCCGUAGCUGGUCUGAGAGGACGACCAGCCACACUGGGACUGAGACACGGCCCAGACUCCUAAGGGAGGCAGCAGUGGGGAAUGUUGGACAAUGGGGGCAACCCUGAUCCAGCCAUGCCGCGUGCGGGAAGAAGGCCUUCGGGUUGUAAACCGCUUUUGUUCGGGAAGAAAUCCUCUGGGCUAAUACCCCGGGGGGAUGACGGUACCGGAAGAAUAAGCACCGGCUAACUACGUG